Long non-coding RNA from Micropterus dolomieu (smallmouth bass), 520 nucleotides. RefSeq lists it as uncharacterized. The record is from RefSeq and is a predicted model, not a curated record. Lineage: Eukaryota; Metazoa; Chordata; Actinopteri; Centrarchiformes; Centrarchidae. The transcript has 4 exons.
CUUAGAUCAGUUUUAUGUCUCAUGCUAAUGAUGAAAAAUGGGACUUAAAGAGGCCAAUCUGACCAUGGACCUGGAUCAGAAUGACUGUUGUGGUGACGUAACUAUCAAUGCCUGGUGUUACAGCCAUGGCCCAUAUUGGAUUGUUCUGUUCAGCAGUCUAUGGAAGGAGCAGACACCUCUUCUUCUUCUUAUCGACACAGUACUAAAGAAAAAGAGGCUGUGGCACCCCUGCUGUACUCUGCUCAAGUCUAAAAAGAAUACCCUGUAGGAAAUCAGACUCAGAUGACAUGAAGAAAAAAAGAACGCUACAAAAGGUUUCCCGUACUUCACUCCACAAAGGCACGAGGUUCAGGCUAGGAUGUUCUAGAGAAAUCUACAGCUGAGAAGAGUGAAAAUAGGAGUGUACUCCUGGUCGAACGUGGGAAAAAGUUAGUAGUAAGUAUUCCAUUGGCAAUGGUGUUACCAAAUUCAGAAUUUAAUGUCCAUAAGUGCAACAGCCCAUGCCCUGUACUCCAGCAGG